CACGUAGGGCGCAAGCGUUGUCCGGAAUUAUUGGGCGUAAAGAGCUCGUAGGUGGUCUGUUGCGUCCGCUGUGAAAACUCGGGGCUUAACCCCGAGCCUGCAGUGGAUACGGGCGGACUAGAGGUAGGUAGGGGAGAAUGGAAUUCCUGGUGUAGCGGUGAAAUGCGCAGAUAUCAGGAGGAACACCGGUGGCGAAGGCGGUUCUCUUGGCCUUACCUGACACUGAGGAGCGAAAGCGUGGGGAGCGAACAGG
RNAcentral lists this ribosomal RNA (253 nucleotides) under uncultured bacterium. Its description in RNAcentral is "partial 16S ribosomal RNA". It matches the Rfam family "Bacterial small subunit ribosomal RNA", at positions 524 to 776 of the family's 1533-position model. The record is from RNAcentral.